Molecule: ribosomal RNA, 517 nt
Filed under: uncultured bacterium
Lineage: Bacteria
Description: bacterial SSU rRNA
Rfam family: Bacterial small subunit ribosomal RNA
Source: RNAcentral
GAGUUUGAUCUUGGCUCAGAUUGAACGCUGGCGGCAGGCCUAACACAUGCAAGUCGGGCGGUAGAGAGAAGCUUGCUUCUCUUGAGAGCGGGCGGACGGGUGAGUAAUGCCUAGGAAUCUGCCUGGUAGUGGGGGAUAACGCUCGGAAACGGACGCUAAUACCGCAUACGUCCUACGGGAGAAAGCAGGGGACCUUCGGGCCUUGCGCUAUCAGAUGAGCCUAGGUCGGAUUAGCUAGUUGGUGAGGUAAUGGCUCACCAAGGCGACGAUCCGUAACUGGUCUGAGAGGAUGAUCAGUCACACUGGAACUGAGACACGGUCCAGACUCCUACGGGAGGCAGCAGUGGGGAAUAUUGGACAAUGGGCGAAAGCCUGAUCCAGCCAUGCCGCGUGUGUGAAGAAGGUCUUCGGAUUGUAAAGCACUUUAAGUUGGGAGGAAGGGCAGUAAAUUAAUACUUUAGCUGUUUUGACGUUUACCGACAGAAUAAGCACCGGCUAACUACUGUGCCAGCCGCCG